RNAcentral lists this long non-coding RNA (206 nucleotides) under Sinocyclocheilus anshuiensis. RNAcentral's name for it is "lncRNA (ENSSANG00000018655.1)". The record is from RNAcentral. Lineage: Eukaryota; Metazoa; Chordata; Actinopteri; Cypriniformes; Cyprinidae.
CUCAGAGCUCUGUUUAUUACUGAGAACUCUUCUUGGAUUAUUUGCCUAUAGUUCCCUAUGGAUGAAUUUCCUAUGGUGUUUUGAGUGAUUUUUCUGCAGUUAUCAGGUUGUGCACAUGGGGUAAAGAGUACAGUCAUGGAACAACAUGUGCAGGUUGUCAUUUAUCCAGGUCAGUUAAGAUGUUCUGCCCAGGCGAGGAGUAGGAG